UGUGCCAGCCGCCGCGGUAAUACGGAGGGUGCAAGCGUUAAUCGGAAUUACUGGGCGUAAAGCGCGCGUAGGUGGCUUGAUAAGCCGGUUGUGAAAGCCCCGGGCUCAACCUGGGAACGGCAUCCGGAACUGUCAAGCUAGAGUGCAGGAGAGGAAGGUAGAAUUCCCGGUGUAGCGGUGAAAUGCGUAGAGAUCGGGAGGAAUACCAGUGGCGAAGGCGGCCUUCUGGACUGACACUGACACUGAGGUGCGAAAGCGUGGGUAGCAAACAGGAUUAGAUACCCUGGUAGUCCACGCCGUAAACGAUGUCGACCAGCCGUUGGGUGCCUAGCGCACUUUGUGGCGAAGUUAACGCGAUAAGUCGACCGCCUGGGGAGUACGGCCGCAAGGUUAAAACUCAAAUGAAUUGACGGGGGCCCGCACAAGCGGUGGAGCAUGUGGUUUAAUUCGAUGCAACGCGAAGAACCUUACCUACUCUUGACAUCCUGCGAACUUGUGAGAGAUCACUUGGUGCCUUCGGGAACACUGAGACAGGUGCUGCAUGGCUGUCGUCAGCUCGUGUUGUGAAAUGUUGGGUUAAGUCCCGUAACGAGCGCAACCCUUAUCCUUAUUUGCCAGCGAGUGAUGUCGGGGACUAUAAGGAGACUGCCGGUGACAAACCGGAGGAAGGCGGGGACGACGUCAAGUCAUCAUGGCCCUUACGAGUAGGGCUACACACGUGCUACAAUGGCCGGUACAGAGGGCCGCAAAGCCGCGAGGUGGAGCAAAUC
RNAcentral lists this ribosomal RNA (770 nucleotides) under uncultured bacterium. RNAcentral describes it as "bacterial SSU rRNA". It matches the Rfam family "Bacterial small subunit ribosomal RNA", at positions 504 to 1273 of the family's 1533-position model. The record is from RNAcentral.